GAAUGUUUCACCAUUCUCUGCCUUUUGCUUUAUAUAUCUAUAUAUAUAAAGCAAAAGGCAGAGAAUGGUGAAACAUUC
This 78-nucleotide microRNA precursor is filed under the name Prunus dulcis (almond). RNAcentral describes it as "sRNA ncRNA". The record is from RNAcentral. Lineage: Eukaryota; Viridiplantae; Streptophyta; Magnoliopsida; Rosales; Rosaceae.